GUGCUCACUUCAGCAGCACAUAUACUAAAAUUGGAACUAUAUAGAGAAGAUUAGCAUGGCCCCUGCGCUAGUAUGACACACAAAUUCGUGAAGUGUUCCAUAUUUUU
RNAcentral lists this small nuclear RNA (107 nucleotides) under Jaculus jaculus (lesser Egyptian jerboa). Lineage: Eukaryota; Metazoa; Chordata; Mammalia; Rodentia; Dipodidae. The record is from RNAcentral.